This 703-nucleotide ribosomal RNA is filed under the name Salmonella enterica subsp. enterica serovar Agona. Its description in RNAcentral is "partial 23S ribosomal RNA". It matches the Rfam family "Bacterial large subunit ribosomal RNA", at positions 1206 to 1890 of the family's 2925-position model. The record is from RNAcentral. Lineage: Bacteria; Pseudomonadati; Pseudomonadota; Gammaproteobacteria; Enterobacterales; Enterobacteriaceae.
CAGCGACACUCAGGUGUUGUUGGGUAGGGGAGCGUUCUGUAAGCCUGCGAAGGUGGCCUGUGAGGGUUGCUGGAGGUAUCAGAAGUGCGAAUGCUGACAUAAGUAACGAUAAAGCGGGUGAAAAGCCCGCUCGCCGGAAGACCAAGGGUUCCUGUCCAACGUUAAUCGGGGCAGGGUGAGUCGACCCCUAAGGCGAGGCCGAAAGGCGUAGUCGAUGGGAAACGGGUUAAUAUUCCCGUACUUGGUGUUACUGCGAAGGGGGGACGGAGAAGGCUAUGUUGGCCGGGCGACGGUUGUCCCGGUUUAAGCGUGUAGGUGUGUGUUCCAGGUAAAUCCGGUUCACUUUAACACUGAGGCGUGACGACGAGGCACUACGGUGCUGAAGCAACAAAUGCCCUGCUUCCAGGAAAAGCCUCUAAGCAUCAGGUAACAUCAAAUCGUACCCCAAACCGACACAGGUGGUCAGGUAGAGAAUACCAAGGCGCUUGAGAGAACUCGGGUGAAGGAACUAGGCAAAAUGGUGCCGUAACUUCGGGAGAAGGCACGCUGACACGUAGGUGAAGUGAUUUACUCAUGGAGCUGAAGUCAGUCGAAGAUACCAGCUGGCUGCAACUGUUUAUUAAAAACACAGCACUGUGCAAACACGAAAGUGGACGUAUACGGUGUGACGCCUGCCCGGUGCCGGAAGGUUAAUUGAUGGGGU